GCGGGAGUAGCUCAGUUGGUAGAGCAUCACGUUGCCAACGUGAAUGUCGCGAGUUCGAGUCUCGUCUCCCGCUCCA
This 76-nucleotide transfer RNA is filed under the name Bacteroidota bacterium. RNAcentral's name for it is "Bacteroidetes bacterium tRNA-Gly". It matches the Rfam family "tRNA". From Rfam's summary of the family: Transfer RNA (tRNA) molecules are approximately 80 nucleotides in length. Their secondary structure includes four short double-helical elements and three loops (D, anti-codon, and T loops). RNAcentral also lists the same sequence under 3 other names. The record is from RNAcentral. Lineage: Bacteria; Pseudomonadati; Bacteroidota.